Molecule: ribosomal RNA, 435 nt
Filed under: uncultured bacterium
Lineage: Bacteria
Description: partial 16S ribosomal RNA
Rfam family: Bacterial small subunit ribosomal RNA
Source: RNAcentral
AGCGAACGCUGGCGGCAGGCUUAACACAUGCAAGUCGAGCGGGCACUUUCGGGUGUCCGCGGCGGACGGGUGAGUAGCGCGUGGGAACGUGCCCUCUGGUUCGGAAUAACUCAGGGAAACUUGAGCUAAUACCGGAUACGCCCUUUUGGGGAAAGGCUUGCUGCCGGAGGAUCGGCCCGCGUCUGAUUAGCUAGUUGGUGAGGUAACGGCUCACCAAGGCGACGAUCAGUAGCUGGUCUGAGAGGAUGAUCAGCCACACUGGGACUGAGACACGGCCCAGACUCCUACGGGAGGCAGCAGUGGGGAAUAUUGGACAAUGGGCGCAAGCCUGAUCCAGCCAUGCCGCGUGAGUGAUGAGGGCCUUAGGGUUGUAAAGCUCUUUUAUCCGGGACGAUAAUGACGGUACCGGAGGAAUAAGCCCCGGCUAACUUCGUG